GAUUCGGGGUGCAGCAGGCGCGAAAACUUUGCAAUACACGAAAGUGUGACAGGGCUAUCCCGAGUGCCAUCCGCUGAGGAAGGCUUUUACCCAGUCUAGAACGCUGGGGGAAUAAGGAGAGGGCAAGUCUGGUGUCAGCCGCCGCGGUAAUACCAGCUCUCCGAGUGGUGUGGAUGUUUAUUGGGCCUAAAGCAUCCGUAGCUGGCUAAGUUAGUCCCUUGUUAAAUCCACCGAAUUAAUCGUUGGAUUGCGGGGGAUACUGCUUGGCUAGGGGACGAGAGAGGCAGACGGUAUUUCCGGGGUAGGGGUGAAAUCCUAUAAUCCCGGGAAGACCACCAGUGGCGAAGGCUGUCUGCUAGAACGCGCCCGACGGUGAGGGAUGAAAGCUGGGGGAGCGAACCGGAUUAGAUACCCGGGUAGUCCCAGCUGUAAACGAUGCAGGCUAGGUGUUUGGACGGCCACGUGCCGUUCUAGUGCCGCAGGGAAGCUGUUAAGCCUGCCGCCUGGGGAGUACGAUCGCAAGAUUGAAACUUAAAGGAAUUGGCGGGGGAGCACAAUCACUAGUGAAU
This 569-nucleotide ribosomal RNA is filed under the name uncultured archaeon. RNAcentral's name for it is "bacterial SSU rRNA". It matches the Rfam family "Archaeal small subunit ribosomal RNA", at positions 319 to 893 of the family's 1478-position model. The record is from RNAcentral.